AACGAACGCUGGCGGCAGGCUUAACACAUGCAAGUCGAGCGGCAGCGCGGGGGCAACCCUGGCGGCGAGCGGCGAACGGGUGAGUAAUACAUGGGAAUCUGCCUGGUAGUGGGGGAUAACUCUGGGAAACUAGAGGUAAUACCGCAUACGUCCUACGGGAGAAAGGGGGGGAUCUUCGGACCUCUCGCUAUCAGAGGAGCCCAUGUCCGAUUAGCUAGUUGGUGAGGUAAAGGCUCACCAAGGCGACGAUCGGUAACUGGUCUGAGAGGAUGGUCAGUCACACUGGAACUGAGACACGGUCCAGACUCCUACGGGAGGCAGCAGUGGGAAUAUUGGACAAUGGGGGCAACCCUGAUCCAGCCAUGCCGCGUGUGUGAUGAAGGCCUUAGGGUUGUAAAGCUCUUUUGCCAGGGAAGAUGAUGACUGUACCUGGAGAAUAAGCCCCGGCUAACUUCGUGCCAGCAGCCGCGGUAAU
RNAcentral lists this ribosomal RNA (475 nucleotides) under uncultured bacterium. Its description in RNAcentral is "bacterial SSU rRNA". It matches the Rfam family "Bacterial small subunit ribosomal RNA", at positions 29 to 524 of the family's 1533-position model. The record is from RNAcentral.